Molecule: unclassified non-coding RNA, 449 nt
Filed under: Hevea brasiliensis (rubber tree)
Lineage: Eukaryota; Viridiplantae; Streptophyta; Magnoliopsida; Malpighiales; Euphorbiaceae
Source: RNAcentral
UAGGGUUUGAGUGUAGAUUAUUGCUACUUCAAUGUGGUCAUAAAAUGUUUGGCUGGUUUUUGGUUGCUUUCGAAGUUGGUACUCAAUCAUGGAAUGGAGUUCCCUUGUAGUGCUUAUAGUUUUUCUGUCCGAGGAUUAUUUUAUUAGGUGGUUGCUUUAUCGAGUGGUUUGUUCUUAUAUAUACAUAUUCUGUGCAUCAGAAUUUUACUCCCUGAAUGUUAGCUGUGCCAUUGUGGAGUUUGUUAUUCCUGGAUCUCCAAUUCCAAAUAUAUGAGAUGUGUCCAUGCUCAAGCAAGCUUUGGCAAGAUAACUUUGAAUAGCCUUCCCUUUCAAGAUCUUGGUAGCCAUGAGAAUUCCCCUUCCAGUCCUUAACUUCUCCCUCAGUAUUGUUUAGUAAUAGAGGUACUACAUAAUGUUUAUUAUUCUAAGCUGUGGCAUUAAAGGGUAUC